Molecule: ribosomal RNA, 1842 nt
Filed under: Escherichia coli
Lineage: Bacteria; Pseudomonadati; Pseudomonadota; Gammaproteobacteria; Enterobacterales; Enterobacteriaceae
Description: partial 23S ribosomal RNA
Rfam family: Bacterial large subunit ribosomal RNA
Source: RNAcentral
GUUAAGCGACUAAGCGUACACGGUGGAUGCCCUGGCAGUCAGAGGCGAUGAAGGACGUGCUAAUCUGCGAUAAGCGUCGGUAAGGUGAUAUGAACCGUUAUAACCGGCGAUUUCCGAAUGGGGAAACCCAGUGUGUUUCGACACACUAUCAUUAACUGAAUCCAUAGGUUAAUGAGGCGAACCGGGGGAACUGAAACAUCUAAGUACCCCGAGGAAAAGAAAUCAACCGAGAUUCCCCCAGUAGCGGCGAGCGAACGGGGAGCAGCCCAGAGCCUGAAUCAGUGUGUGUGUUAGUGGAAGCGUCUGGAAAGGCGCGCGAUACAGGGUGACAGCCCCGUACACAAAAAUGCACAUGCUGUGAGCUCGAUGAGUAGGGCGGGACACGUGGUAUCCUGUCUGAAUAUGGGGGGACCAUCCUCCAAGGCUAAAUACUCCUGACUGACCGAUAGUGAACCAGUACCGUGAGGGAAAGGCGAAAAGAACCCCGGCGAGGGGAGUGAAAAAGAACCUGAAACCGUGUACGUACAAGCAGUGGGAGCACGCUUAGGCGUGUGACUGCGUACCUUUUGUAUAAUGGGUCAGCGACUUAUAUUCUGUAGCAAGGUUAACCGAAUAGGGGAGCCGAAGGGAAACCGAGUCUUAACUGGGCGUUAAGUUGCAGGGUAUAGACCCGAAACCCGGUGAUCUAGCCAUGGGCAGGUUGAAGGUUGGGUAACACUAACUGGAGGACCGAACCGACUAAUGUUGAAAAAUUAGCGGAUGACUUGUGGCUGGGGGUGAAAGGCCAAUCAAACCGGGAGAUAGCUGGUUCUCCCCGAAAGCUAUUUAGGUAGCGCCUCGUGAAUUCAUCUCCGGGGGUAGAGCACUGUUUCGGCAAGGGGGUCAUCCCGACUUACCAACCCGAUGCAAACUGCGAAUACCGGAGAAUGUUAUCACGGGAGACACACGGCGGGUGCUAACGUCCGUCGUGAAGAGGGAAACAACCCAGACCGCCAGCUAAGGUCCCAAAGUCAUGGUUAAGUGGGAAACGAUGUGGGAAGGCCCAGACAGCCAGGAUGUUGGCUUAGAAGCAGCCAUCAUUUAAAGAAAGCGUAAUAGCUCACUGGUCGAGUCGGCCUGCGCGGAAGAUGUAACGGGGCUAAACCAUGCACCGAAGCUGCGGCAGCGACGCUUAUGCGUUGUUGGGUAGGGGAGCGUUCUGUAAGCCUGCGAAGGUGUGCUGUGAGGCAUGCUGGAGGUAUCAGAAGUGCGAAUGCUGACAUAAGUAACGAUAAAGCGGGUGAAAAGCCCGCUCGCCGGAAGACCAAGGGUUCCUGUCCAACGUUAAUCGGGGCAGGGUGAGUCGACCCCUAAGGCGAGGCCGAAAGGCGUAGUCGAUGGGAAACAGGUUAAUAUUCCUGUACUUGGUGUUACUGCGAAGGGGGGACGGAGAAGGCUAUGUUGGCCGGGCGACGGUUGUCCCGGUUUAAGCGUGUAGGCUGGUUUUCCAGGCAAAUCCGGAAAAUCAAGGCUGAGGCGUGAUGACGAGGCACUACGGUGCUGAAGCAACAAAUGCCCUGCUUCCAGGAAAAGCCUCUAAGCAUCAGGUAACAUCAAAUCGUACCCCAAACCGACACAGGUGGUCAGGUAGAGAAUACCAAGGCGCUUGAGAGAACUCGGGUGAAGGAACUAGGCAAAAUGGUGCCGUAACUUCGGGAGAAGGCACGCUGAUAUGUAGGUGAAGUCCCUCGCGGAUGGAGCUGAAAUCAGUCGAAGAUACCAGCUGGCUGCAACUGUUUAUUAAAAACACAGCACUGUGCAAACACGAAAGUGGACGUAUACGGUGUGACGCCUGCCCGGUGC